UACAGAGGUCUCAAGCGUUGUUCGGAUUCAUUGGGCGUAAAGGGCGCGUAGGCGGCAUGACAAGUCACUUGUGAAAUCUUCGGGCUUAACCCGGAACGGCCAAGUGAUACUGUCAUGCUAGAGUGCAGAAGGGGCAAUCGGAAUUCUCGGUGUAGCGGUGAAAUGCGUAGAUAUCGAGAGGAACACCUGAGGUGAAGACGGGUUGCUGGGCUGACACUGACGCUGAGGCGCGAAAGCCAGGGGAGCAAACGGG
Molecule: ribosomal RNA, 253 nt
Filed under: uncultured prokaryote
Description: partial 16S ribosomal RNA
Rfam family: Bacterial small subunit ribosomal RNA
Source: RNAcentral